Molecule: ribosomal RNA, 282 nt
Filed under: Halosbaena sp. BI
Lineage: Eukaryota; Metazoa; Arthropoda; Malacostraca; Thermosbaenacea; Halosbaenidae
Description: partial 28S ribosomal RNA
Rfam family: Eukaryotic large subunit ribosomal RNA
Source: RNAcentral
AGCCCACAGGCGAAGUGAAAGCGCAAGCUUUUCGCUCUGCGAAUUGCUCCUUUUGACGGCUGAUCCUGCGACACUCUCGUGGGCGCAAGCCGCGGACUCUCGUGGUUCCCUUCACGGGGAGCCGAGGGUACCGAGAGCGCACUUGCCAGGACCCGAAAGAUGGUGAUCUAUGCUUGGACAGGACGAAUGCCAGGGGAAACCCUGGUGGAGGUCCGAAGUGCCUCUGACGUGCAAAUCGAUCAUCAGAUCUGAGCAUAGGGGCGAAAGACUAAUCGAACCAUC